This 429-nucleotide ribosomal RNA is filed under the name Bacteroidota bacterium. RNAcentral describes it as "Bacteroidetes bacterium partial 16S ribosomal RNA". It matches the Rfam family "Bacterial small subunit ribosomal RNA", at positions 355 to 776 of the family's 1533-position model. Lineage: Bacteria; Pseudomonadati; Bacteroidota. The record is from RNAcentral.
UAGGGAAUCUUCCGCAAUGGACGCAAGUCUGACGGAGCAACGCCGCGUGAGUGAAGAAGGAUUUCGGUUCGUAAAACUUUGUUGUUAGAGAAGAACAGCGCAUAGAGUAACUGUUAUGCGUGUGACGGUAUCUAAACAGAAAGCCACGGCUAACUACGUGCCAGCAGCCGCGGUAAUACGUAGGGGGCAAGCGUUGUCCGGAUUUAUUGGGCGUAAAGCGAGCGCAGGCGGUCAAUUAAGUCUGAUGUGAAAGCCCCCGACUCAACCGUGGAGGUUCAUUGGAAACUGUUAGACUUGAAUGCAGAUGAGGUGGGUGGAAUUCCACAUGUAGCGGUGAAAUGCUUAGAUAUAUGGUGGAACACCGAUUGCGAAGGCAACUCUCUGGUCUGUAACUGACGCUGAGGCUCGAAAGCGUGGGUAGCAAACAGG